GCCAGACUCCUACGGGAGGCAGCAGUGGGGGAUAUUGCACAAUGGGGGGAACCCUGAUGCAGCGACGCCGCGUGGGUGAAGGAGCGUUUCGGCGCGUAAAGCCCUCUCGGCAGGGAAGAAGGAGGACGGUACCUGACUAAGAAGCCCCGGCUAACUACGUGCCAGCAGCCGCGGUAAUACGUAGGGGGCAAGCGUUAUCCGGAUUUACUGGGUGUAAAGGGGGCGCAGACGGCAGCGCAAGCCAGGAGUGAAAGCCCGGGGCCCAGCCCCGGGACUGCUCUUGGAACUGCGCGGCUGGAGUGCAGGAGGGGCAGGCGGAAUUCCUGGUGUAGCGGUGAAAUGCGUAGAUAUCAGGAGGAACACCGGCGGCGAAGGCGGCCUGCUGGACCGUGACUGACGUUGAGGCUCGAGAGCGUGGGGAGCAAACAGGAUUAGAUACCCCCGUAAA
Molecule: ribosomal RNA, 448 nt
Filed under: uncultured bacterium
Lineage: Bacteria
Description: partial 16S ribosomal RNA
Rfam family: Bacterial small subunit ribosomal RNA
Source: RNAcentral